GUUUUCGUAGUGUAGUCGGUUAUCACAUACGCUUUACACGCGGAAGGUCCCCGGUUCAAACCCGGGUGAAAACA
This 74-nucleotide transfer RNA is filed under the name Onthophagus taurus. RNAcentral describes it as "transfer RNA valine (anticodon UAC)". It matches the Rfam family "tRNA". From Rfam's summary of the family: Transfer RNA (tRNA) molecules are approximately 80 nucleotides in length. Their secondary structure includes four short double-helical elements and three loops (D, anti-codon, and T loops). The record is from RNAcentral. Lineage: Eukaryota; Metazoa; Arthropoda; Insecta; Coleoptera; Scarabaeidae.